CAGGGCACACGCGUCCCUGCGAUCUCUCCUACUUCCGGGACACAAGCCUUCCUUGUCUGAUACAGAAGAUGCGGACACAGACACAGACAACCUUACUUAAUCCCCUCUGCUCUUCACCUCCAGCGUUCGCUUGACUGACUCACCUGCAGGACUGCUAAGCGGGACUUGAAGUGCUGAGUUCUAUUCUAAAUGUCGUGGAAAGACAAGAUACUUGUGCUCGAGAGAUGUUAACCAGAUUAUCAGACCCUCGAAGCUUUCACUGUUCCAUUUGAAACACUUUUCCUUCUUUGGCAUUCUUCAGCAUCAACACCAACACCUCCAAUCAUUAUCUGCGUGUAUAUAGGACAAAGCUUUAAAUGAGGUACAAUCUGCUUUCUCAAUUUUGCACUGAGGAAAAUGGCAACCUCUGCCUCAAUUACAGGUAAAGUUAGUUUUGCAAUCUUUCGUGUAUAUUAAAUAGAUUUCAAACUAACAUCUGCAAAUUUUCAAAUUUCUCAGUGCUGAUUUCUCUCAUGAAGAAAGCACACUGCACUGUUCUCAGAAGUAUUUUUCUGCCUCUAAGUUAAUUAAAAGGUUUGGUUGAGGACAAUCCUUGCAAUGACCGUGAUGUUUGGAGAGACUUUAUGAAAUUCAUUGGUGGCAUAGAGGUGGACACCCACUGAACAAAGGGUCCAGUUUAAUUUA
Molecule: long non-coding RNA, 684 nt
Filed under: Felis catus (domestic cat)
Lineage: Eukaryota; Metazoa; Chordata; Mammalia; Carnivora; Felidae
Description: lncRNA (ENSFCAG00000052834.1)
Source: RNAcentral